UGGGUUUGUCUGAAAAGGGGGAGCAGAGCAAAACAUUUAUACUGUAAAUAAUAAACUAAAUAAUAAAUACACGAAUAAAUAAAUAAUUGUAAGCUUAAGUGGUCACGUGAGAUGGUAGGAACGCCACCUGCUAGCACGACCUUCAUGUUUACCAGAAUGGACCUGAAGGUAAACUAAGGACGGAGAAUUGUUAAGGCUCAAGACCACGGAGGAAACUUCUGCGCAUUGGAAAACGUUUUUAAAAAAGCAACACGUCGCCCAAGAGGCCAGCGAGGCCAGGAGGCGGACGGACCAUGAAUCGAGAUGAGGGAACAUUCAAGCUCUCCCACACGUGGAACUCUCUGCAGGGGGCGUGGCCUACAGGAGAAACGCCUUUUUAAAAGUGCACGUCACUCCUACAUGAUGAUGCCUCUGAAGAGGACAGCAGACGACAGUCGAAACACGUCAGAGUUCUCUACGCAGCAAAGUAGCCCUGCACUGCUUCAGCACAGUGGAGGCAGCAGCAGCAGCAGCAGCAGCAGCAGCA
This is a long non-coding RNA of Mugil cephalus (flathead mullet), 526 nucleotides long. RefSeq lists it as uncharacterized. The transcript has 3 exons. NCBI's taxonomy places the organism in Eukaryota, Metazoa, Chordata, Actinopteri, Mugiliformes, Mugilidae. The record is from RefSeq and is a predicted model, not a curated record.